This 63-nucleotide transfer RNA is filed under the name Cryptopygus antarcticus. RNAcentral describes it as "tRNA-His". The record is from RNAcentral. Lineage: Eukaryota; Metazoa; Arthropoda; Collembola; Entomobryomorpha; Isotomidae.
AUCUAGGUAGUUUAAAUUAAAAUUUUAGUUUGUGGAGCUAUAGAUGGUUAUAUCCUCUUGAUA